UCGAGCGAGACCUUCGGGUCUAGCGGCGGACGGGUUAGUAACGCGUGGGAACGUGCCCUUCUCUGCGGAAUAGCCACUGGAAACGGUGAGUAAUACCGCAUACGCCCUUCGGGGGAAAGAUUUAUCGGAGAAGGAUCGGCCCGCGUUAGAUUAGAUAGUUGGUGGGGUAAUGGCCUACCAAGUCUACGAUCUAUAGCUGGUUUUAGAGGAUGAUCAGCAACACUGGGACUGAGACACGGCCCAGACUCCUACGGGAGGCAGCAGUGGGGAAUCUUAGACAAUGGGCGCAAGCCUGAUCUAGCCAUGCCGCGUGUGUGAUGAAGGUCUUAGGAUCGUAAAGCACUUUCGCCAGGGAUGAUAAUGACAGUACCUGGUAAAGAAACCCCGGCUAACUCCGUGCCAGCAGCCGCGGUAAUACGGAGGGGGUUAGCGUUGUUCGGAAUUACUGGGCGUAAAGCGCGCGUAGGCGGAUUGGAAAGUUGGGGGUGAAAUCCCGGGGCUCAACCCCGGAACUGCCUCCAAAACUAUCAGUCUAGAGUUCGAGAGAGGUGAGUGGAAUUCCAAGUGUAGAGGUGAAAUUCGUAGAUAUUUGGAGGAACACCAGUGGCGAAGGCGGCUCACUGGCUCGAUACUGACGCUGAGGUGCGAAAGUGUGGGGAGCACACAGGAUUAUAUACCCUGGUAGUCCACACCGUACACGAUGAAUGCCAGUCGUCGGGCAGUAUACUGUUCGGUGACACACCUAACGGAUUACGCAUUCCGCCUCGGGAGUACGGUCGCAAGAUUAAAACUCAUAAGGUAUUUGACGGGGG
This 812-nucleotide ribosomal RNA is filed under the name Sulfitobacter faviae. RNAcentral describes it as "bacterial SSU rRNA". It matches the Rfam family "Bacterial small subunit ribosomal RNA", at positions 62 to 919 of the family's 1533-position model. Lineage: Bacteria; Pseudomonadati; Pseudomonadota; Alphaproteobacteria; Rhodobacterales; Roseobacteraceae. The record is from RNAcentral.